AUACUGCAAUGGAUCCUGAAGGUGCUGCAGGCUGUAAACUGACUGCCCUCCGUUUGGCACAUUCUCUCUAGAAGUAAGAUCUGAGAGGAGCUCCAUCAUGGCUGCCACAGAGACUCGGAGAAGUGAGAAGAGCUAGGCAGCUUCCUCUUUAUCCAAAGGAUGCCCUUCUACUAGAAUUGGUCCGAUGUUUUCCUCAUGGUGAGACUGGAGUUAUGGGUUUUGAAGAGGAAGAUUACAGAGAAUUUCCACUGAUGCCAUUGCUUGAAGGGAGGCUUG
Molecule: long non-coding RNA, 276 nt
Filed under: Homo sapiens (human)
Lineage: Eukaryota; Metazoa; Chordata; Mammalia; Primates; Hominidae
Description: HSALNT0296250
Source: RNAcentral